RNAcentral lists this ribosomal RNA (371 nucleotides) under uncultured eukaryote. RNAcentral's name for it is "partial 18S ribosomal RNA". It matches the Rfam family "Eukaryotic small subunit ribosomal RNA", at positions 592 to 976 of the family's 1831-position model. The record is from RNAcentral.
CAAUAGCGUAUAUUAAAGUUGUUGCAGUUAAAAAGCUCGUAGUUGAAUUUCUGUCAGGAGUGACCGGGCCUUUGGAUGAACUUCCAUUGUUUUUUGCUCUGUUUGUCAUCUCUAGACAUCCUGAAAUAUUUUUUAAAAAUAUUUCUCUUUUACUGUUAGCAAAAUAGAGUGUUCCAAGCAAAGCGUAGUUUUGAAUACAUUAGAAUGGAAUAAUAAGAUAGGACUUUGGUGCUAUUUUGUUGGUUUGCACACCAAGGUAAUAAUUAAUAGGGACAGUUGGGGGUAUUCGUAUUUAAUUGUCAGAGGUGAAAUUCUUGGAUUUAUGAAAGACGAACUACUGCGAAAGCAUUUACCAAGGAUGUUUUCAUUAA